ACCUGGCUGGCUCAGUUGGUAGAGCAUGUGACGCUUAAUCUCAGGGUCAUGAGUUCAAGCCCCAUGUUGGGGG
RNAcentral lists this transfer RNA (73 nucleotides) under Canis lupus familiaris (dog). Its description in RNAcentral is "tRNA-Lys (CTT) (tRNA-Lys-CTT-15-1)". It matches the Rfam family "tRNA". From Rfam's summary of the family: Transfer RNA (tRNA) molecules are approximately 80 nucleotides in length. The record is from Rfam by way of RNAcentral. Lineage: Eukaryota; Metazoa; Chordata; Mammalia; Carnivora; Canidae. RNAcentral also lists the same sequence under 1 other name.